GUCUGAGCUCUCUCUCUCUCUCUCUCUCUCUCUGGACGGGGAGGGGAGGGGCGGGGGGGCAGAGCGCUAUUAGCCGAGCGCUGCAGACAUCGUUAGGAGGGGAGACGCUUUCCACCGCCAGCGCCGGAGCAGAGCCGGGGAGCCCUGGCAACAAGCGGAGACACCGACUCAGCAGCCCGUGACGCCGUACAGGAAUGGUGACAGCCCCUGCAGACAGACAGACGUGGACAGACGGCGCCUCCCUCCCGUCGCUGGACAGAUCCGCGACUCCAGCCGGCUUUUGGCUCCACUCUGAGCGGCAGGCGCCUCCUACUCAACCUAAGUAGCGGUCCCUCCUCGGCCCAGGAUUGUGCUGCAUGUGGGCAGGUUUGCUUCUCCGGGGAAAUGAUUCCGCAUGAAGUGCAGCGCACUCGGCCCCCCGUCUUCCUCGGCGGCCGCAGCAGGUGUGACGUCGCGACGCUCUUCCCCACGACACUGAGCUCACUCCUGAGACGCUAAAGACCCAACAGACCCGGAGCCAACAGAACACCCCGCCACUCCCCUCCGACCGCCCUCCGCAUCGCCAUCGCUCUUCAGCACCUCCGCACCUAUCAUUUAAAGAACCAAGAGAUUUACGUGCCGAACUGGACAGAAAGGGAACGAGAGACGGGCCUGGAGGUUGGUUUAUAGCCAGUAAGGACAGAACAUCAGAAGGAUAAAGGGAAGUGAAGUAGAAAGUAAGAGAGGGGGAAACAGAAGAAGCUAUAGAAGGUGAACGUUAAGGGAUAAAGC
Molecule: long non-coding RNA, 771 nt
Filed under: Betta splendens (Siamese fighting fish)
Lineage: Eukaryota; Metazoa; Chordata; Actinopteri; Anabantiformes; Osphronemidae
Description: lncRNA (ENSBSLG00000017077.1)
Source: RNAcentral